RNAcentral lists this unclassified non-coding RNA (216 nucleotides) under Hevea brasiliensis (rubber tree). Lineage: Eukaryota; Viridiplantae; Streptophyta; Magnoliopsida; Malpighiales; Euphorbiaceae. The record is from RNAcentral.
CGUUACGACUUCAUUGUUGAACACGAUGUGAAGGAACUCGGAGCUCACACGCUAGUCUGCACUGCAUUGUACAAUGAUGGUGAUGGUGAGCGUAAAUAUCUACCACAGUUUUUUAAGUUCAUGGUUGCAAAUCCACUUUCGGUCAGAACAAAGGUCCGAGUUGUGAAGGUAUGUUUUGCUGACUAAAAGCAGCCAACGAUAGUACAUUCUUAGAAG